Molecule: unclassified non-coding RNA, 224 nt
Filed under: plant metagenome
Description: partial contains small subunit ribosomal RNA, internal transcribed spacer 1, and 5.8S ribosomal RNA
Rfam family: 5.8S ribosomal RNA (bases 155-224)
Source: RNAcentral
GUAGGUGAACCUGCGGAAGGAUCAUUAACGAAUUUAAAGAGUGCACUUAAUUGUGGCUCGACAUUUUCUACCAUUCACCCUAGUGCACUGUAAUACCUUUUUUUAUUAGACUCUACAAAGUUAUCGAAUGUAACACUUUUUUAUAAAGAAAUAAAACUUUUAACAACGGAUCUCUUGGCUCUCGCAUCGAUGAAGAACGCAGCAUCUGACUGACUCAGGUCUGU